UACAGAGACUGCAAGCGUUAUUCGGAUUCACUGGGCGUAAAGGGUGCGCAGGCGGCCAAGUGUGUUAGGCGUGAAAGCCCGGGGCUUAACCCCGGAAUUGCACCUAAAACUACAUGGCUAGAGCAUUGGAGAGGGGAGCAGAAUUCACGAUGUAGCAGUGAAAUGCGUAGAUAUCGUGAGGAAUACCAGAGGCGAAGGCGGCUCCCUGGACAAUUGCUGACGCUCAGGCACGAAAGCGUGGGGAGCAAAAGGG
Molecule: ribosomal RNA, 253 nt
Filed under: uncultured bacterium
Lineage: Bacteria
Description: partial 16S ribosomal RNA
Rfam family: Bacterial small subunit ribosomal RNA
Source: RNAcentral